GGGGAUGUAGCUCAGUGGUGGAGUGCAUGCUUAGCAUGCAUGAGGUCCUGGGUUCAAUCCCCAGCACCUCCA
This 72-nucleotide transfer RNA is filed under the name Loxodonta africana (African savanna elephant). Its description in RNAcentral is "tRNA-Ala (AGC) (tRNA-Ala-AGC-12-1)". It matches the Rfam family "tRNA". Rfam says of the family: Transfer RNA (tRNA) molecules are approximately 80 nucleotides in length. Their secondary structure includes four short double-helical elements and three loops (D, anti-codon, and T loops). Further hydrogen bonds mediate the characteristic L-shaped molecular structure. tRNAs have two regions of fundamental functional importance: the anti-codon, which is responsible for specific mRNA codon recognition, and the 3' end, to which the tRNAs corresponding amino acid is attached (by aminoacyl-tRNA synthetases). tRNAs cope with the degeneracy of the genetic code in two manners: having more than one tRNA (with a specific anti-codon) for a particular amino acid; and 'wobble' base-pairing, i.e. permitting non-standard base-pairing at the 3rd anti-codon position. The record is from Rfam by way of RNAcentral. Lineage: Eukaryota; Metazoa; Chordata; Mammalia; Proboscidea; Elephantidae.